RNAcentral lists this ribosomal RNA (372 nucleotides) under uncultured organism. RNAcentral describes it as "bacterial SSU rRNA". It matches the Rfam family "Bacterial small subunit ribosomal RNA", at positions 526 to 896 of the family's 1533-position model. The record is from RNAcentral.
CGUAGGUGGCAAGCGUUGUCCGGAUUUACUGGGCGUAAAGGAUGCGUAGGUGGAUAUUUAAGUCAGAUGUGAAAUACCCGAGCUUAACUUGGGUGCUGCAUUUGAAACUGGAUAUCUAGAGUGCAGGAGAGGUAAGUGGAAUUCCUAGUGUAGCGGUGAAAUGCGUAGAGAUUAGGAAGAACACCAGUGGCGAAGGCGACUUACUGGACUGUAACUGACACUGAGGCAUGAAAGCGUGGGGAGCAAACAGGAUUAGAUACCCUGGUAGUCCACGCCGUAAACGAUGAGUACUAGGUGUAGGAGGUAUCGACUCCUUCUGUGCCGCAGUUAACACAAUAAGUACUCCGCCUGGGAAGUACGGUCGCAAGAUUA